GUCUCGUUGGUCUAUGGGUAUGAUUCUCGCUUUGGGUGCGAGAUGUCCCGGGGUCAAAUCCCGGACGAGCCC
Molecule: transfer RNA, 72 nt
Filed under: Dreissena polymorpha
Lineage: Eukaryota; Metazoa; Mollusca; Bivalvia; Myida; Dreissenidae
Description: tRNA-Pro
Rfam family: tRNA
About the family: Transfer RNA (tRNA) molecules are approximately 80 nucleotides in length. Their secondary structure includes four short double-helical elements and three loops (D, anti-codon, and T loops). Further hydrogen bonds mediate the characteristic L-shaped molecular structure. tRNAs have two regions of fundamental functional importance: the anti-codon, which is responsible for specific mRNA codon recognition, and the 3' end, to which the tRNAs corresponding amino acid is attached (by aminoacyl-tRNA synthetases). tRNAs cope with the degeneracy of the genetic code in two manners: having more than one tRNA (with a specific anti-codon) for a particular amino acid; and 'wobble' base-pairing, i.e. permitting non-standard base-pairing at the 3rd anti-codon position.
Source: RNAcentral